AUAAUGAUACUCCUGCUCAGUCACAAGUCGAGCGUGAUAAAACCGUCGCAACUAAUGAGAGCAGCUCGGAUGAACUCGGAGAGGUGAGACUCCUGUGG
This 98-nucleotide non-coding RNA is filed under the name unclassified sequences. The record is from Rfam.